RNAcentral lists this long non-coding RNA (631 nucleotides) under Oryza brachyantha (malo sina). RNAcentral describes it as "long non-coding RNA (OBRA_LNC001272)". Lineage: Eukaryota; Viridiplantae; Streptophyta; Magnoliopsida; Poales; Poaceae. The record is from RNAcentral.
AAAAGGAGAUAUGCGUGGCUAGUGGAAAAAAGGAUUAAAAAAAAUAAACAGAACGCCUAUGUAAUGAGAAGGGAUAAUGCAUGCAAGUGGCUUAAGCUCUGCAAUGAUUUACAAGAUUGGAAAAAAAAAGUUGAUCGAGAUUGAUGCAGACGAACAUAUGCGUGGUGGAAACAAUGGCAAUACGCGUAUGACAUCGUAUGCGUGUACUGAUGAAAUUUCGUAGAGAAAUGGCAGGAAUAAAGUGGAUCGUAAUCCAAGAAAGCGAAGAGGAAAAUUAGGUGUUUGAUUUGAAACACCGUGGCCAUUCAUUCCUUGUCAAUUAUCGCGUAAAGAAUAGUGGUACAGAACUAUGUCGAGUCGAAUACAAGCAUCUAGUUGGGAAAAGAUGACGAGUAGAAUCGUCUUCUCCGAUUGCUUUGAUUCGGUGGGGAUCCUGUUAGAGCCGCAGGUCCGUGCACAGGUCGAUGUGGUCCCGGUCAAGCGGCGGCGGGAGGUUGAGGUCGAACGCCGCCACGCGGGACCGAACGGUAGAGGCGUCGUCGCCGUCGUCGUCCACCACGGAGGCCGACGAGGCGCAGUCGCUGUGGCAGCCGGCGUCGGGCGCCGGCCGUGCGGACCGUGGAACGCGCCU